Molecule: ribosomal RNA, 253 nt
Filed under: uncultured bacterium
Lineage: Bacteria
Description: partial 16S ribosomal RNA
Rfam family: Bacterial small subunit ribosomal RNA
Source: RNAcentral
UACGAAGGGGGCUAGCGUUGCUCGGAAUCACUGGGCGUAAAGGGCGCGUAGGCGGCGUUUUAAGUCGGGGGUGAAAGCCUGUGGCUCAACCACAGAAUGGCCUUCGAUACUGGGACGCUUGAGUCUGGUAGAGGUUGGUGGAACUGCGAGUGUAGAGGUGAAAUUCGUAGAUAUUCGCAAGAACACCGGUGGCGAAGGCGGCCAACUGGACCAGCACUGACGCUGAGGCGCGAAAGCGUGGGGAGCAAACCGG